Daphnia pulex (common water flea) is the source of this 952-nucleotide long non-coding RNA. RefSeq lists it as uncharacterized. NCBI's taxonomy places the organism in Eukaryota, Metazoa, Arthropoda, Branchiopoda, Diplostraca, Daphniidae. The transcript is spliced from 4 exons. The record is from RefSeq and is a predicted model, not a curated record.
AAAGUGAUCGAGUGUGCUCUCCCAAUUAUUUCCCUUCCAUUUUAUAUGCAGAAACAAUUGUAAAACUUUUGCUUAGAGUUUUAAUGCACACACUGUUGAAACCAAACAUUUUGUUUUUGUGAAAAAGACAUCAUGAAUAAUAACCAGUAGUGAUUCAUUGGUUUCGUAAAGGCCUUCGCCUGCACGACAAUCCAGCACUUUUGAAUGCCCUCGAGAAGGUUGGCGAAAGAAUUUAUGAAUUGAGGCCUGUCAAAUUCAUUCUGGACCCAUGGUUUUUCAAGAAUGCCAGAAUGCCAAGGUUGGUCGUAAUCGAUGGAGGUUUCUCAUUCAAAGCCUUCAGGACCUGGAUGACAAUUUGAAGAAGAUUGGCUCUUGUUUGUUCAUACUUAAGGGAUCAUCAACAGAAAUGUUCAAGAAAUACUUCAAAGAAUGGAACGUCAAGAAAUUGACAUUUGAGGUUGACAUAGAGCCUUAUGCCAAAACACGAGAUGAAGAGAUUAAAAAGCUUGCUGACCAUCACUCUGUCCCUGUGGUCGCCAAAGUUUCUCACACCAUUUAUGACCUGUAAAAGGUUUUUAAGGCGAAUGGUAAUAAAGCUCCAUUGACAUAUGUAAAAUUUCAAUCUGUUGUGGCCAAAUUUGGAGCACCUGAAAAGGCAUUGAAUGCUCCUGGAAAAUUGCCCAAACAGUGUCAAACUUUGCUUUUAUCUGACAAGUAGGGGAGACCGGGGCUAUGUGGGACAUUUUUUUCCUUUACGCUGCCAUUUAUAUAAAAAUAAAAAUUCUGAAAAAAUUAAAGUAUAGGGGUGAUUCCCUGGCAUUUAUUUACAUUUGGUAAUUUUCUGAAUUUUUUUCGUUGAUUCGUUUAUGAGUUAUGUGAUGAAAUGCCAACAUGAAAAAAUGCCGAAAAACAAAAAAUUUAGGGUUAAACGGAACAGAGCCAGGGGUAAAAU